Molecule: long non-coding RNA, 3079 nt
Filed under: Heterocephalus glaber (naked mole-rat)
Lineage: Eukaryota; Metazoa; Chordata; Mammalia; Rodentia; Bathyergidae
Description: lncRNA (ENSHGLG00000036990.1)
Source: RNAcentral
CUUGGUGGCAUCCAAUCACAACCUCACUUUACAGCUGUGUGAUGCUGACAGGCACAUGUCGCCCACCUUAUCUGUGUGACCUAGAAGCUUGAACCACAUUCAGUUGGGGUUGAGGCGGAAAGCGAAGCAGUGGGUCCUCCACAGCAGGUGGGCAGCUGAGCUCGGGAAGGACAUCAGACACCAGACUGCAGUCUCUGGUCCGAGGUUCACAGUGCCACUCCUGACUGGGCUGCCUCCUGGGGACUGGGAAAAUCAUGGGCACCACAGGCCCUCAGGGCCCACCUAGCAGAGUCCCUGGGGUCUUCCAUGCACGCAAGGUGCUGGCCACCUUCAGGGGCUGUCGUGUGACGACCCAAGUGAGAGCUGGAGGGCGGAGAUGGCUGAAAUCUGAUCUAGAGAGCACCUCUGUCCAUGCAGCAGAGCCCAGCCUCCUGCUGACCCCGCCGGUCUGAUGGCUGGAGCAUGUGCUCCUUCUUCCAGGAGGGUGUGCAGCUGACUUUGGAAGACCGUGCUCUCGGCCUGGAGCCCGUGGUGCAGUGUCUGCCCUGGGCACGAAGAGGAAGGAGGAGAGUUCUCAGGGCUGAGGCCUGAGCUGAGCUGAGUGGGGAGUGGAGGAGGAAUGGGUGGAAAUGGGAGUGGCCCAAAGCACCGGAUCAGCACUGGGAGGGUUUGGCUGGAGUGAGGACAGCUGGGGGCCCCACACGAGCAGCUUUGACUUAAUUCUCUUGGAGGACAGGCCAAGGACUCGCCUCUGACCCUAUCCAUGGGCGCCUUUCACAGGCAGUGUCAGGGGCCAGGGCAGGGUGAGGGUCUGCAGCCGUGUGUGCAAAUGGGAGUGCAUGACACCCAGUGUGCAGGGCAACCAUGUCCUGAGCACCUUUUGCCCUUGCUGGUUCACGGCUCUCAGUCUUCCUGGCCCUGAGCAGGUGAUCUAGGGUUUACAUACGCUUGGAUUUUACAAGUCUACUCACAUCACACUGUGCCAUCUUGUCAGAAGGAGAAACUGAGGCAAAAGAUCCUGAAGAACCUGCGGGGAGGAGCUGCCCUCCAAUCUGAAACAAGACGCAGGGAACAGACUGCCCAGGCUCCUUCGUUCAGCAGUCUGCACCUGUAUUUGGUUCUUUCCCUCCAUAUCUUGGAAAGAGGGGAGAGAGAAGUUCUUUGGGCAACGGCCAUCUGGAGCACUUCUCACUGGGCACAGGUUUGGGGGGGGAUGGCAGGAGGCUGUUGCCCCAAUAUUCCUUAGACUGUGGGUGAAUGGAGAGCUAGAAGUAUGGAGAUUCAGCAGGUUAGGAUUGAUGUAGGGGCCGGGUGGCUCCAGCACUCUUGGAGCUCAAAGCAGGAAGAUCAUCAGUUCAAGGCCAGCCUGGGUAAUUUAGCAAUUUAGGAAGGCUCAGUCUCAAAAUAAAAAGAGGGCUGGGGAUGUAGCUCAGGGUGAAGGCCCCGGGUUCCACCCCCACUACCAAAACAACGGAAACAAAGGAAGAGAAGAAGGAAAAGAGAGCAUGAAGAGAGAGACAGAGAGACGGAGACAGAAAGAUGGAGACAGAGGGGAGAGAGAGAGACAGUGUGGUCCCCUCUUAACCCCUAGCUGUGUGGGAAAGAGACAGGAGGAGGAAGACUGCACAGGAGACAGGAGGGCGUGGCCUGAGCUGGAGCAGAGGGGCCGCUGGUGGCCUGGCGCUGAAACCCUACUGCUAAGCCGGGCCCUUCCACAGCCCUGCUGUGAGGGUGAGGAAGAGCACUGGCUGCGGUUGGUCCAGGACCCUCGGGGGAGCGCUUGUCCGCCCGCCCAUUACCCCGGCCCUGGGAGCCUCCUCUCUCCCCUGCCCAGAAGCUCUCUUGCUCUCUCUGUCCCCGGGCUUUGAGAAGGGCAGGGCGCCCCGCCCAGGAGGGGAAGUGAACAGCAGCCUCCGCCCUGGGUUCCCAGUGAGCGUGUGAGCGUGUGAACGUGUGUGAGUGUGUGUGUGUGUGUGUGUGUGUGUAGGCUCACGCAGAUCAGACACAGAGCGCAGAGUGGAGAGCUUCCCGGACCUUCACAGAGAGCUUGGCCCUUGAAGCUUGUCACAGCCGGCCCAGCUGAGCAGAGGCGCAGGAGCAGCCUGGGGUAAGUGACGUGCUGGGGACUGGGGCGAAGGCAAGGGGGCUCGGGCGGAGCUGGACGUGUAGCGAGCGGAGAGGGAAGGGGACCCCUGUGGCCCUCUGCCCACCCCCCCUCGAUGCCCCAGCCCUAUAUCUCCGUCCCUGGGCCCUGCUACCUGCAGCCACGUGGGGGCUGGGAACCCCAAGUGCAGCCACUAAGCGGGACCCACACAGUCACCCGGUAGGGAGGCACCAUGGCCAGUGCUCACGCAGGGGACACUGAGGAAGCCAGAUUUCCCAGGCCCCCAGAACCAGAGUCGUGGCGCAAAAGUCCUGAUUCUGCUGUAGGUGUCCCCACAGCCAGAUCACAGAAGCUCGGGGACACUCGGACCUUCAGGAGGCAGGAGGUGAUGCCUGGAAUGGAAGUUUCACUUGUCCGGCAGCCCAACCCUCAUGUGGCGCAUUCUGGGGAGCAGAGGUGGGGAGAGCAGGCCUUGGAGCUGGCGCGGGGGUGCAGGGCGGUGGCAGCCUGGCCGGCAGCCCUCCCUUUUGCUUCUCUAGCUUCUCCAUCUCUGUCUUCUCCAGGUGAUGCUGGGCUAUGGCUUCACAUCUCCAUGGACCCUCUGAGGCUGGUGGGACCCCUCGCUACCUACAGCCUGGGCUGGUGUUCCCCGAGCUCUCCAGGGUCUCAUAGUAGCAGGGGUCUGGCAGUAUGGCUGGAGCAGUCGGAUGUGAUGGCCGAGUGAGGAGACUCACUAACCACAGAUGGAGAAUGGCAGCACCCAAGCCUGACUCGGGACCAAGCUGAACCCUGUACCCAGCACCAGUGAGAACAUGAAGAACCUGGCACGUGAUAUCAGUCUUCUAGCACGAGGCCAGUGUGACCUCCGGGGUCAGCUGUGGAGACACAGAAGGGCGGCAGUGACUGAGCUGUGGCCACCGACCUCUUGCUCUUGCAGCAUCUGUUCUGUGUGCAGGACACACCCGCUCUUUUUCC